GAAAGAACAAGAACUCCAGGGAAGAAGUGAAGUUAGUAACAUGCAUUAAUGGGACAUGAAUGAGGGCAGAAAGAGAGAGGAAGAGAGGAGCUCAGUGCACCAUGGGAAAUCCCCCAAUAGUCUAGGCCUAUAGCAGCAUAACUAAGGGAUGGUUCAGGACUCAUCUGAUCCAGCCCUAACUAUAAGCUUUAUCAAAGAGGAAUGUCUUAAGCCUACUCUUGAAUGUGGUGAGGGUGUCUGCCUCCCGAACCACAACUGGAAGCUGGUUCCACAGGAGAGGAGCUUGGUAACUGAAGGCUCUGGCUCCUGUUCUACUUUUAGAGACUAUAGGAACCACAAGUAGCCCAGCAUUCAGAGAACGUAGUGUUCUAGAGGGGUAAUAGGGUACUAUGAGCUCUUUAAGAUAUGAAGGGGCCUGACCAUGAAGAGCUUUAUAGGUGAGGAGGAGGAUUUUAAAUUCUAUUCUACAUUUUACAGGGAGCCAAUGCAGAGAAGCUAGUACAGGAGAGAUGUGAUCUCUUUUUCUAGUUCCUGUCAGUACUCGUGCUGCAGCGUUCUGAAUUAAUUGGAGCGUUUUAAUGCACUUAUUGGGGCAACCUGAUAAUAAAGAGUUGCAGUAAUCCAGCCUUGAAGUAACAAAUGCAUGGAUUAGUUUUUCUGCAUCUGUCUGUGAUAGUAUGUCUCUAAUUUUUGUAAUAUUACGUAAAUGAAAGAAGGCAGUCCUGGAGGUUUGCUUUAUGUGGGAGUUAAAUGACAAAUCCUGAUCAAAGAUAACUCCAAGAUUCCUGACAGUCGUGCUAGAGGCCAAGUUAAUGCCAUUUAGAGCAACUAUAUCUUUAGACAGUGAGUCUCUAAGGUUUUUGGGGCCAAGAACAAGAAUUUCGUUUUUUUCUGAGUUUAACAUCAGAAAAUUGCAGGUCAUCCAGGAUUUUAUGUCCUUAAGACAUGUUUGUAAUUUAGAUAAUUGAUUAAUUUCAUUGGGUUUGAUUGAUAGAUAUAACUGCGUAUCAUCUGCAUAACAGUGAAAGUUAAUGGAGUGAUUCCUAAUAAUGUUGCCUAAAGGGAGCAUAUAUAAAGUAAAUAGUAUUGGUCCAAGUACAGAACCUUGUGGAACUCCAUGACUAACUUUAGUAUUUAUGGAGGAUUCAUCGUUAACAUGUACAAACUGAGUACGAUCUGAUAAGUAUGACUUAAACCAGGUUAGGGCAGUUCCUUUAAUGCCAAUUUGAUGCUCAAGUCUCUGUAAAAGAAUAUCAUGGUCAAUGGUGUCAAAUGCAGCACUAAGAUCUAAUAAUACAAGUACAGAGACAAGUCCAUUGUCAGAAGCAGUCAGAAGGUCAUUAUUAACUUUAACCAGAGCUGUCUCUGUGCUAUGAUGAACUCUAAAUCCUGACUGAAAAUCCUCAAAUAAACUAUUGUUAUGUAGAAAGUCACACAACUCUUUGGCGACUACUUUCUCCAGAAUCUUAGAGAGGAACGGGAGGUUAGAAAUUGGUCUAUAGUUGGCUAAAACCCCUGGGUCAUGAG
This is a long non-coding RNA of Dicentrarchus labrax (European seabass), 1527 nucleotides long. RefSeq lists it as uncharacterized. The transcript is spliced from 3 exons. NCBI's taxonomy places the organism in Eukaryota, Metazoa, Chordata, Actinopteri, Moronidae. The record is from RefSeq and is a predicted model, not a curated record.